Molecule: long non-coding RNA, 218 nt
Organism: Nothoprocta perdicaria
Lineage: Eukaryota; Metazoa; Chordata; Aves; Tinamiformes; Tinamidae
Exons: 3
Source: RefSeq, a predicted model, not a curated record
AGUCAUCUCAAGAAAUACUUGAACCUGGAAUCUAUGAGCUUUGAUCAGUGCCUCUGUUGAUAGAAUGUAAUCAUACAGAGUUGAGAACUUCAGCCUCAGAAAACACCUGAGAGCUCCUCACAAUAAUCUUCUUUUUUUGUCAGAAGUGACAAAGCAGAGAGGCGAGGACUGAAGCAGAAAGACAGCAAGACUUUCUACCAAAGAGUAUUAUGCAAGUU